UUCCAAGUGUAUUUGUCUGCCCUGGC
RNAcentral lists this non-coding RNA (26 nucleotides) under Mus musculus (house mouse). The record is from RNAcentral. Lineage: Eukaryota; Metazoa; Chordata; Mammalia; Rodentia; Muridae.